Molecule: ribosomal RNA, 450 nt
Filed under: uncultured bacterium
Lineage: Bacteria
Description: bacterial SSU rRNA
Rfam family: Bacterial small subunit ribosomal RNA
Source: RNAcentral
AAGUUCCAAGUUUUGAGUUUAUCUUAAACACUUGUUACAUGGCACCUGAUACUUUAUUACAUUUCUAGUGGCGACGGGUGAGUAACACGUUGGAACCUGCCCCAAAGUGAGGAAUAAGCCACCGAAAGGUGGUCUAAUACUUCAUAAUAUCCAUCUCGUAUGGAUUAAAGCUUUAUGCGCUUUGGGAGGGGCCUGCGUAACAUUAGCUAGUUGGUGAGGUAAAAGCUCACCAAGGCUUCGAUGUUUAACUGGUUUGAGAGGAUGACCAGUCACACUGGGACUGAGAUACGGCCCAGACUCCUACGGGAGGCAGCAGUAAGGAAUCUUCCACAAUGGGGCAACCCUGAUGGAGCAAUACCGCGUGCAGGAUGAAGCGUUUCGGCGUGUAAACUGCUUUUAUCACCGAAGAUUAUGACUGUAGGUGAAGAAUAAGGACCGGCUAACUACGUG